GUUAUUUAUGUGACCAUGGAAACUAGUGAAUUCGGCAUGGCUAAAACGUCAAACUAGUGAACACGUGCAUUUAUCAUCGAAUUCGCAGAGCCCAAAUCUAAAAAACCAUCAACCGUUCGGGAUGAAUCGGGUGAAGGUUUCUGCACUGAACGAAAUCUCCCGCCAUGAAAUGAAUGAUUUGUAAUUCACUGGUCUAUAAAUCUUAACAUUCCUCAUUUUGAAUGAAUAUUCAAGUAUAUGAUGAAACUACCGAAAAUUGAACAAAAAUCAUCCAAUUCUGUGAUGACUUUUGUUAUACAUCCGUAUGACAUUAAGUAAACAUUUGAAUUAUACUAACACAAAUAAAAAACAUCCAACUUAUGACGGAUUUUAGUUUCUACCAUGUCCCAAAUCGAAAAUCAUUCAAUUGCCGUCUGACAAAACAUACAGAAAGCGUACGAUGAUAGUUGUCAAAUUAUUCUUCUGAAUCGUAGUGUAAAUAUGGCGGCAGCAGCGUAUUGACUCCGGAACUCCUGAUUGAAUUUAACAGGCUUCAUAAAUCACUGAUAUGCACAUAAUCCGAAUGGGAUCGUGGAGUUUCUGGAGUCAAACAUGAGGCAACUGUUCUUGGCGAUAUCAAUGUUCUAGAUACUUUUCCAAAUCAAGUUAAAUAAUCAUACAUUGAAUUAAAUACGUCUUAUGUAGAA
Long non-coding RNA from Aedes aegypti (yellow fever mosquito), 686 nucleotides. RefSeq lists it as uncharacterized. The transcript has 2 exons. The record is from RefSeq and is a predicted model, not a curated record. NCBI's taxonomy places the organism in Eukaryota, Metazoa, Arthropoda, Insecta, Diptera, Culicidae.